Molecule: ribosomal RNA, 352 nt
Filed under: uncultured bacterium
Lineage: Bacteria
Description: bacterial SSU rRNA
Rfam family: Bacterial small subunit ribosomal RNA
Source: RNAcentral
AGAGUUUGAUCCUGGCUCAGGAUGAACGCUAGCUACAGGCUUAACACAUGCAAGUCGAGGGGCAGCAUGGUCUUAGCUUGCUAAGGCCGAUGGCGACCGGCGCACGGGUGAGUAACGCGUAUCCAACCUGCCUUACACUCUUGGACAGCCUUCUGAAAGGGAGAUUAAUACAAGAUGUUAUCAUGAGUAAGCAUUUUCGCAUGAUUAAAGGUUUACCGGUGUAAGAUGGGGAUGCGUUCCAUUAGAUAGUAGGCGGGGUAACGGCCACCUAGUCUUCGAUGGAUAGGGGUUCUGAGAGGAAGGUCCCCCCANAUUGGAACUGAGACACGGUCCAAACUCCUAACGGGAGGCA